Long non-coding RNA from Dromaius novaehollandiae (emu), 1339 nucleotides. RefSeq lists it as uncharacterized. The transcript is spliced from 2 exons. The record is from RefSeq and is a predicted model, not a curated record. Lineage: Eukaryota; Metazoa; Chordata; Aves; Casuariiformes; Dromaiidae.
GUCAGCCACUCGCCGCAUGUCCCCAUCCGUCCCGACUGCCUCCGUCUCACUGCCACUUUCCUUCUGCCUGACCCUUUCUCCGGGAUUGUCUUCUUUCUCGGCAGUGGCUGUGGGCAGGGCUCAGGUGCAGCAGGAGCCGUCGGCAGAGGCCACCGAGGGCACUGGCAUUAACAUCACCUGCUCACACCCCAAAAUAAAGAACAACGAGUACAUCUACUGGUACCAGCAGCUCCCGGGACGAGGUCCAACGUUCAUCACGAGCGCUUUCAAAGGGUCGAAAGAGGUGCGGGACCCGCCAGGGACCCUCAUGGUGUCCGAAGACCGCCGCUCCAGCGUCCUGCAUCUCGCCCGGCCCCGCUGGCGGGACGCGGCGGUGUAUUACUGCGCCGUGGGAGACCCGGCGGCACAGGUCACGCACAAAAGGAUGCUGUGCUCCAGUUCCCACCAGAAACGACUGUCCAGGCAGGACACGGUGCAACACUGCACUGCAAUUUCUCCACCAGCGACCCUUAUGCCUGCAUUUUCUGGUACCAGCAGUGCCUGACCCAGUCCCCUGAGAUGCUGCUUGUGGACAGAUCCAGAUCUCAUGUGGAUUCAGGGAGGUUCUGCUGUGUGCUGUGUGCUGAGAGCUCCCAGGUGCUUCUCUAAGUGCAGGAUGCCGAGCUCCAGGACAGUGCUGUGUCUGUGCUCUGAGCCCAUGCCAAUGUAUGCACUACUGUGAAGCAUUGCACAGGAAGACUUGUGGUCUGCUUUGGGGAGGUCACCCCAUUUCUGGGAACUAGUUUGUCCCUCUGCAUGUAGUGCUUUUUGCAUGCCAGGUCUGACUGGUGGAACAAAGAGCUGGCCCUGGAGAGCAGGUGUGACUACUGCUGGCAAAUCAGCCAUGGUGGCUGCAGAGAAGCAUUAGGUGGUGUUUCCUCCCUGAGGGAGGAAAUGUGCUGGUGUUUGCUCCUAGUGCAGGGCACUGCUCCUUGUCCCCAGCAUGGGGGAGACAGCUGGGGAGCCACCUUCACUUUCAAGCUCUGCCCACUGGGCCAGGUGUCUUCUCCAGGUGCUGGACACAGGGAAAUCCAACCCCUUUAAGUGGAGCUCGAUAGACCCCUUUCCCAAUGAAGGACCGAGAAAUCACGACUCUGCAUUCAAAAAAGGGGAGUGAAUUCCCACAUGCGCAGGUCCCUUGUUUUCUCACAGCUGGGCAUGGUGAUCGGGUUCGUAUAAUUUUGACAGUAUGGUUGAUGUUAGAGGGGACCCUUAGAGGGGGGAGCAACCACCAGAGUCUGAGGGGUCCUUUAUUGAAGCAAGCUUUCCUGUGAACGUGAACAAAGACCCCAUCUGGGAA